Molecule: ribosomal RNA, 329 nt
Filed under: uncultured eukaryote
Lineage: Eukaryota
Description: partial 18S ribosomal RNA
Rfam family: Eukaryotic small subunit ribosomal RNA
Source: RNAcentral
CCCUUAGAUGUUCUGGGCCGUACGCGCGCUACAAUGAUGAAUUCAACGAGUUUAUAACCUUGGUUGAAAAGCCUGGGUAAUCUUUUGAACUUUCGUCGUGAUGGGGCUAGACCCUUGCAAUUAUUGGUCUCCAACGAGGAAUUCCUAGUAAACGCAAGUCAUCAGCUUGCAUUGAUUACGUCCCUGCCCUUUGUACACACCGCCCGUCGCACCUACCGAUUGAAUGGUCCGGUGAAAUCUUCGGAUUGAGACUUUGAUUUCUUCACGGAAAACGCUGUUUUAAGAAGUUGAUUAAACCUUACCAUUUAGAGGAAGGUGAAGUCGUAACA